RNAcentral lists this transfer RNA (71 nucleotides) under Gongylonema pulchrum. It matches the Rfam family "tRNA", at positions 1 to 60 of the family's 71-position model. From Rfam's summary of the family: Transfer RNA (tRNA) molecules are approximately 80 nucleotides in length. Their secondary structure includes four short double-helical elements and three loops (D, anti-codon, and T loops). The record is from Rfam by way of RNAcentral. Lineage: Eukaryota; Metazoa; Nematoda; Chromadorea; Rhabditida; Gongylonematidae.
GAUCGGGUGGCCGAGUGGUUAAGGCGAUGGACUGCUAAUCCAUUGGGGUUUCCCCGCGUGAGUUCGAAUCU